GACGAACGCUGGCGGCGUGCCUAAUACAUGCAAGUAGAACGCUGAAGGAGGAGCUUGCUCUUCUGGAUGAGUUGCGAACGGGUGAGUAACGCGUAGGUAACCUGCCUGGUAGCGGGGGAUAACUAUUGGAAACGAUAGCUAAUACCGCAUAACAGUAGAUGUUGCAUGACAUUUACUUAAAAGGUGCAAUUGCAUCACUACCAGAUGGACCUGCGUUGUAUUAGCUAGUUGGUGGGGUAACGGCUCACCAAGGCGACGAUACAUAGCCGACCUGAGAGGGUGAUCGGCCACACUGGGACUGAGACACGGCCCAGACUCCUACGGGAGGCAGCAGUAGGGAAUCUUCGGCAAUGGACGGAAGUCUGACCGAGCAACGCCGCGUGAGUGAAGAAGGUUUUCGGAUCGUAAAGAUCUGUUGUAAGAGAAGAACGAGUGUGAGAGUGGAAAGUUCACACUGUGACGGUAUCUUACCAGAAAGGGACGGCUAACUACGUG
This 495-nucleotide ribosomal RNA is filed under the name uncultured bacterium. RNAcentral describes it as "partial 16S ribosomal RNA". It matches the Rfam family "Bacterial small subunit ribosomal RNA", at positions 28 to 507 of the family's 1533-position model. The record is from RNAcentral.